CGGACUCUCACUCUCUCUCUAUGAUGAACAAGCUCCGGAAUUUGGUCUUUUCCCUUAAACUCUGUUCGAUCUCCACCGCAAUCCUUUUUCUCUUUCUCUCCGUUCUCGAUCUAACUCAACAAAUUGAGCACUUGGUGGCCACUGUGUUGAUCUAGAUCCAGGGCUUAUGGGCUUAUUCUUUUUGGGUAUUUCAAUUUGGCUCUUUCCAGUCGUUCCUCUUCCUCUCUCGUGCGAGGUCAUUCAACUCAGAUGCUUUCAAUUCAAUGGCGAGGUCAUUCGUGCGAGUUUCGUUCUGUCCGAGCGCAAUUUCGAUUCAACUCGGAUGCUUUCUCUUCUCUGCUGACGGAGAGUUCGCGUCUUGGGUCAGUUCUCAACCUCUUUUUGCUUGGUUUCUGUGUAGAUUGGAGCAGGCCUCUGGCCUCGCAGGUGUGCGUCUAGUGUGACCGGACAGGUUGCUGUCGGAGGUGAUUGGGAUGGAGAUCGGAGACUGGGGCGUUGGGAUUUCGAUCUGUUUGGUUUUUAUUUGAUGACGGUGGCUGCACGGAGACUGGGUGAGCGGAAGAUGGUGGUGACUGGGUGUGUGGCGACGGUCGGGGAUUCGGAUCCGGCAGUAGGGUUGUUGACCCUCUGGGUUUGGGGAUGGAGACGGUGGGAAUAUAGGCUCGGGUGUUGAUCUUCUUCAUGGAAUUGGGCAUGCGAGCUUUGUGUUUGUGGUGGUGGUUGAUGUGUGGUCAACGACGAUUGGGGUUCGGUAUCGGCGCCAAACAGAUUAUGGAGGAGCCUACAAUCCUGCAGCAGUGUCCAAACACGGUGUACUACAUAUUAUCACAUUAUAUUGGUUUAUUUCUUAUUUUCUUUCCAUUCUACUAGUCGGUCACAGUGUAUUAUUAACAUUCGAGGUGUUGCCGACAAGUUUGAUGGAGAGGAUAACAAUAAAGCAAAUGAAGUCGUCCUGAGUAUUGUUGACCUUGCUGGAGCUGAAAGAGAAAAGAGAACUGGGAAUCAGGGAGCAAGGUUGCUUGAAAGUAAUUUCAUCAACAACACAUCGAUGGUUUUUGGCUUGUGCUUGAGAUCCUUAUUGGAGCAUCAGAAGAACCCUAAGAAGCCAAUGCAAAAGCACUUUCAGAACUCAUUGUUGACCAAGUACUUGAGAGACUAUUUGGAAGGCAAGAAGGGG
Rosa rugosa (rugosa rose) is the source of this 1177-nucleotide long non-coding RNA. RefSeq lists it as uncharacterized. The transcript has 4 exons. Lineage: Eukaryota; Viridiplantae; Streptophyta; Magnoliopsida; Rosales; Rosaceae. The record is from RefSeq and is a predicted model, not a curated record.